Molecule: ribosomal RNA, 759 nt
Filed under: uncultured Rhizophagus
Lineage: Eukaryota; Fungi; Glomeromycota; Glomeromycetes; Glomerales; Glomeraceae
Description: eukaryotic LSU rRNA
Rfam family: Eukaryotic large subunit ribosomal RNA
Source: RNAcentral
GCAUAUCAAUAAGCGGAGGAAAAGAAAAUAACAAUGAUUCCCUUAGUAACUGCGAGUGAAGGGGGAAAAGCUCAAAUUUUAAAUCUGUUAGGUUUCCUAACCGAGUUGUAAUUUUGAAGAAGCGUUUUCUGUGCAGUUUGGUCGACCUAAGUCCUAUUGAAUGAGGCAUCACGGAGGGUGAUAAUCCCGUUCGGUUGAUCAUUGCGCUUUAUGAUACGCUUUCAAAGAGUCAAGUUGUUUGGGAUUGCAGCUUAAAAUGGGAGGUAAAUUUCUCCUAAGGCUAAAUAACGGCGAGAGACCGAUAGCGAACAAGUACCGUGAGGGAAAGAUGAAAAGAACUUUGAAAAGAGAGUUAAAUAGUACGUGAAAUUGUUGAAAGGGAAACGAUUGAAGCCAGUCGUACCGGCGGGCAAUCAGCCUUUUGGGUGUGAUUAUGUGGGGCGUGAGGAGUUAAACACCCUCAUCUUUACAUAUUCGUGCACUUUGGGUGUACUUGCUCGUGUGGUAGGUUAACAUCAAUUUCGAUCGUCAUAAAAUGAUUGGAGGAAUGUAGCUUCGAUCUUGUAUUGAAGUGUUAUAGCCUUCGGUAGAUGUGAUGAUUGGGAUUGAGGAUUGCAACGGAUACCUUUCGGGGCUACCUGUCUGAUCUCUGAGUGUUGCUCUGGUGCCGAAAGCUUGCUUACGGUAUCAAAAUUGACGUUCAAUAGGUUAGAAUGGGUUUUUUUCUUUAAGGAUGUUGACGUAAUGGCUUUAAACGAC